UCACAGCCCUUCCGCCCCCCUU
RNAcentral lists this microRNA (22 nucleotides) under Gallus gallus (chicken). RNAcentral describes it as "gga-miR-12286-3p". Lineage: Eukaryota; Metazoa; Chordata; Aves; Galliformes; Phasianidae. The record is from miRBase by way of RNAcentral.